CCUACGGGAGGCUGCAGUGGGGAAUAUUGCACAAUGGGGGAAACCCUGAUGCAGCGACGCCGCGUGAGUGAAGAAGUAAUUCGUUAUGUAAAGCUCUAUCAGCAGGGAAGAAAAUGACGGUACCUGAGUACGAAGCCCCGGCUAACUACGUGCCAGCAGCCGCGGUAAUACGUAGGGGGCAAGCGUUAUCCGGAUUUACUGGGUGUAAAGGGAGCGUAGACGGCAGUGCAAGUCUGGAGUGAAAGGCGGGGGCUCAACCCCCGGACUGCUCUGGAAACUGUACGGCUGGAGUGCAGGAGAGGUAAGUGGAAUUCCUAGUGUAGCGGUGGAAUGCGUAGAUAUUAGGAGGAACACCAGUGGCGAAGGCGGCUUACUGGACUGUAACUGACGUUGAGGCUCGAAAGCGUGGGGAGCAAACAGGAUUAGAUACCCUUGUAGUC
This 440-nucleotide ribosomal RNA is filed under the name uncultured bacterium. Its description in RNAcentral is "partial 16S ribosomal RNA". It matches the Rfam family "Bacterial small subunit ribosomal RNA", at positions 338 to 795 of the family's 1533-position model. The record is from RNAcentral.